CCAAUGUGAACGUUACAAACUGUUGCCUCGGCGGGGUCACGCCCCGGGUGCGUCGCAGCCCCGGAACCAGGCGCCCGCCGGAGGAACCAACCAAACUCUUUCUGUAGUCCCCUCGCGGACGUAUUUCUUACAGCUCUGAGCAAAAAUUCAAAAUGAAUCAAAACUUUCAACAACGGAUCUCUUGGUUCUGGCAUCGAUGAAGAACGCAGCGAAAUGCGAUAAGUAAUGUGAAUUGCAGAAUUCAGUGAAUCAUCGAAUCUUUGAACGCACAUUGCGCCCGCCAGUAUUCUGGCGGGCAUGCCUGUCCGAGCGUCAUUUCAACCCUCGAACCCCUCCGGGGGAUCGGCGUUGGGGAUCGGGACCCCUCACACGGGUGCCGGCCCCGAAAUACAGUGGCGGUCUCGCCGCAGCCUCUCCUGCGCAGUAGUUUGCACAACUCGCACCGGGAGCGCGGCGCGUCCACGUCCGUAAAACACCCAACUUUCUGAAAUGUUGACCUCGGAUCAGGUAGGAAUACCCGCUGAACUUAAGCAUAUCAAUAAGCGGAGG
This 549-nucleotide ribosomal RNA is filed under the name Trichoderma asperellum. RNAcentral's name for it is "eukaryotic LSU rRNA". The stretch from base 162 to 315 matches the Rfam family "5.8S ribosomal RNA". The record is from RNAcentral. Lineage: Eukaryota; Fungi; Ascomycota; Sordariomycetes; Hypocreales; Hypocreaceae.